GGUGCAUUCACCUAGGCGCUCGUCGUGGCCCUCUGCCCUUUCGUAGGCUCGCCAGCGUAGCAGGAAAGCUUGAAGAUCUUUUGAAAUUCAGUCGGUGCUUCCUCAUCUCUUUGCGCACCCCAGAGCUCACACACACCAGCCGAAUUGCGUUAGCAACUCCGAGAGCAACAUCUUCUCCAUCGCCAUUCUCGGCGCCGCCGUGGUGAGCGUCUCCGUGGCCAGGUCGACUAGGUGAGCUCGUCGGAACCGUUCCUCGCCGCCAAAGCACCCCACCAUAGGCCGCCGCAACGUGGACAACCAACUCGGGCCUUCCUCCGGCCGUCCCCGUCACUGUUCCUGGUUCUAGAAGAGCCAGUGGAUGAGGAUCCCGGUGUUCAGCAGAUUGAAGCUGUUGAGCAGGAGCUCGUUGAAGG
Molecule: long non-coding RNA, 413 nt
Organism: Zea mays
Lineage: Eukaryota; Viridiplantae; Streptophyta; Magnoliopsida; Poales; Poaceae
Exons: 3
Source: RefSeq, a predicted model, not a curated record